This 201-nucleotide ribosomal RNA is filed under the name uncultured bacterium. RNAcentral describes it as "partial 16S ribosomal RNA". It matches the Rfam family "Bacterial small subunit ribosomal RNA", at positions 1300 to 1500 of the family's 1533-position model. The record is from RNAcentral.
GCAGGCUGCAACUCGCCUGUAUGAAGUUGGAAUUGCUAGUAAUCGCGGAUCAGCAUGCCGCGGUGAAUACGUUCCCGGGCCUUGUACACACCGCCCGUCACACCAUGAGAGCCGGUAAUACCCGAAGUCAGUAUCCUAACCGCAAGGAGGGAGCUGCCGAAGGUAGGAUUGGCGAUUGGGGUGAAGUCGUAACAAGGUACC